CACAAUAACCCCAGAGAGCAAAAUUAAGAACAAAAUACUGUCCUUAGCACACCGCACAAUGGAAUCUCUCAGAGGCUAUAUCCAAGCAAAAUGGAUGUGGCGGAGAAGUUUAUUCAAGACAAUCCAUAGUAAGGCUUAACACACCAAUAUACACAUGAAGAAGAACUUCUUCGCAUCACGGAACAGAUGCAACCAGACGUAGAAAACCUAUUACUAGCAUUCGGGAUCGACAUUGCCACAAUAGGAGCCACAAGAGCGCCCACUCAUCCAACUUCUGAUGUAACGCAACCCGAUCCUGCACAUACAAAAACAAGAGCCAAUAUCAGUCAAGAGAUGAUGUAACUCAUGAAGGACCAAAUUGCAUUUGAGGAAAGUCACACCCUGAUAGAAUACUUGAGGAAAAAUCCUGGCCCAAGCAUACUCCACGAGUGGGCCACAAGAGUUCUACACAACUCCUACACCUCAACAACGAUGCUUGGGGGAGGUUACUUCAAAAUAUAAUUUAUGAGCAAACAAGGAAAACUACACAUGCUAUCUAAACCAUAUCAAUUCAACAACGAAGAUAUAUUAUUUUCCACCUGGAGAGCCGACUUCGACCUGGAAUCGGAAACCGACACGCACCAAACCUCCUCCCAAAUCUGGGCACAACUCCGAGGCUUAAGAAGGAUUUUUCGCACAACACAGUUUCUCACAGAAGCCUUUUCCACUAUCGAAGAAGUCAUAGCCGUUGACUCCACCAAAUCUUACCAAAACAAAGCUUCUGGUUCUAAGGUUCAGUUACCAGUCUAGGAUGUAGUCAACCUCCCACAUACUUCAGUUCUUCCCAAGAGGUGAACAUGAAUACCGAAUUGACUACAGUGUACUAUCCUCCUAGUGCAAUAGAUGUAGAAGUACUACACACCACGCUAAACACUGUACACUACCGUGGAGAGAAGAGCGCAAGAGAUCCAGAUAGAAAACCCCAACCUUGGAAAACUCGGUAACCGACAACCUCACCCAACACAGACAGACCAAUGGUGAAGAGAAAACAUUGAAAAAUGUAGGACCUAGGAAGAAGAACAGUGCAACUCUUCUACGCACCAAAUACAUCUGGGUAGAAAAGAAACCAACAAAAUCCACAGACACACAUGAAGGACCAGAAAAACCAUCUGAAUCAAUCAUAUACAACUCACCACAUACAAUUGAGCUUUUGGAGAGCUCUGGGAUCAGAACCGCCUUGCAAAGGAACAACUUAUGAGCAAAUUACAGUAGCUUUAGUUUGGUCAUCUCAAAACAACUUCCUUGAAACCCUGGUUUGCAAAGCUAGCGACACUCUGCUGUGCACAACACAACUGACUCACGUCCCAAAGGAGAAGGAUUGGUCAUCAUCAAUCGCUCAAACGCAUAUGGUUAACACCACAAUGCAAAAGCUCCAAACACAGAUAACCAAUAGAGGAAAUGGCCCCAACUUGCUCCGCACCUAGUCAGACGCAAUAUGGGUUUCAGAAUAGCUCAACUAAAAAUCUACUCACACAAACAAUUGGAUUACUAUCUUGCCAUACGACAAAAGCACCACAGCGAUCAAACAUCAAUAAACAAAGCACUGGAAGCAGAUACCAUCAUCAACAUCCCCCCCACAAGCUCUCAUACUAGAAAGGGUAAAGGAGAUAUCAUAUGGCCAAUGGUGUCAGACAAUCAUCCAUCUCCAAGAUUAACACACCCAGGAUGUGAACUCCUCUCCUCUAACUCACUUUGAGCAGAAACUCGGAGAGAACAACACAUCUAUUAUACAUGAAUGAUGGCCUAACAAUGGCCACAUACAACAUCCAGUGCUUAGGCGAAGGACUGGAUGGCGUCAGAAAAUGCUGUAAGCUUCGAAACUUAAUGCAAAAGACCUAUCUCAAACCCAACCUUAUAUUAUUACAAGAACAUCAAUUCAACCAUACUAACUGUACCAAACAAGCUACACAACUAGAUUUUCUACAAGGUACAAUGCUUUGGAACACCGUAGUGUACUCAGCACAAAAAGUGGCUUAGUUGGUGGAACAGCUAUUUUGGUAUCCAACAAACUCACCGAUAACCUAAAAGAACAUGGAGUGAUAGUCUGAGGAAGAGCGCAACGCUCCAUUUUCAAAAUCAGCCCCACAGUUCAAAUAGGCAUUCUAAAUGUCUAUGGUUACAGCCACACAGAACCCCGUGCAAGACUAUGGCAGAAAAUAGCAGACCACCCUUUACCAGAAGCCCUCUGGAUCAUGGGGGGCGAUUCUAAUUUUAUUGAGUCCCUCGAAGACAAGCAGGGUGGGAAUGCCAAUUUAAGACAAGGAACACAAGAAAUGACAGCAUGGAAUAACAUGCUCAUUAAACUAUAAGUUCAAGACAGUUUCCACAUGGGAGAAUUCUGCAAGAUUACCAAUAAACGCUUCACCUGGGAUAACAGAAGCCCAGCCCCGAAGACAGUACUCACCAAGCUAGAUAGAAUAUACAUUGGAGACAAACUCCAAGACUGAGGUGGACUAUGUGGAAUCUGGACAGCACAACCAAUCAUUUCGUAUUACACCCCUGCUUUCAUAAGAUUGAAACCUGCAUGCCGACCUCUACCCUAGAUGCAGUUCUUUGACAAACGACAACUAGAAUCAGUUGAAGGCAGACAACAUGUCACAGGAGCUUGAAAACAGGCCAUAUAAAACACUACAUAAACCAAAUGGAGCGAUAAAAUUGGCCUUACAAGCAGUAUGCAACACGAACCUAAAUAUUGCAAAAAAGAACAGACAGACUUGGAAAAAAUAGUACAAGAAUCAACUAAACCAGACACUCAAUGCCAAACUCCUCGUUCAAGAUAACUGAAAUGACCCAACGACGAGGGACACACUCAACACAACACAGCUAUAAUUACAAAAAAAUUGAUACAACAGGCUAGAAAAACAAUUCACAUUCCUUACAGUCAAAUGGACAAGAGUGAGAGACCGUUGCAACUCUGAGUUCUUUCAACACUACAGAGCUCGUCACUGCAAAGUCCGCAUCAAAGAAUCCAAUGAUAAGGACCGCAUUCAAAAGUUCCAGAAGCACAUGGCGCUUUAUGCACAAAGAUAUUACCAACAACUCUACACCCCAAACUCCACCGUUGAAUGCAAUGUAGACUCCGAAAGAGACACCUUAGCAAGCACUCCUAUAGUAGUCACAGAGGAUCACAACCGAGAGUUAGAACGCCCUAUAACUGCUGAAGAGAUUACAGCGGCAACGAAGAGUCUUCCUAGAAGCAAAGCCCCCAGACUGGACAAGGUACCGACCGAAUUUUUCCAAGAAUGUUGGAGGGAAAUUGGCCCCGACAUGGUGGAACUCAUCAAAGAGGUUCUCUCACAAGAAACAUUGCCCAAUAAAUUCAACACCAGCAAUGUAGUACUCAUCCCAAAAUCAGGUGACCUCUCUCUGAUCACAAACUACCACCUAAUUUCUAUUCUAAGCACAAUAUACAAAAUCAUAGCAAAAGCAUUGGCUAACAGACUAGUUCCUCACCUACCAAGAUGGAUUCAAAAAUCUUAAACAGGAUUUACUAGAGGAAGAUGUAUAUUUGAUAACGUCUUCCUAGCCACAGAAGCCAUGUCUUGGGCAGAAGAGAGCAAUCAGGACCUAGCCCUAAUACUUUGACAUUGAAAAAGCAAAUGAUCGCAUCGGUUGGAUUUUUUCGCAAGAUGCGAUGACACAAUUAGGUUUCUCCAACGAAUGGAUCACGUGGACAAUGGCUCUCAACAAUGAAGCUGAGGCAGUAAUAACCAUCAACGGAGAGCAAGGACAAUCCUUCAAGCUAGAGAGGUCAAUUCGCCAGAGGUGCCUCUUGGCACCCUACCUAUUUCUAUUUGCUGCCACCUUACUAGAAUAUGUGCUAGACGAUCCCAAGCACAACAUAGAAGGGCUCAUCCUAUCCAACCAAACCAGUCACACUAACUCUAUGUUUGCCGACGACACCUCACUAUUCCUCAAAAGAGAACCAAACAACAUGCAACAAACACUGAGAGUGUUAGACACGUACUAUGAAGCCUUCAGAGCUAAGAUUAACUGGCAUAAAACUCCGACAAUCUGGGUCUCCCAAAAAACACGAACCUUUAAUUGGAGAAAUGUGCAUGGUCUAACAUAGGUACGAACAGGAAUCCCAGUGCGCUACCUAGGCUUUCCAAUCGGAUUCCACAUGCCUCCAAAAGAGAACGGAGCCAAAAUCCUACAGCAAAUCAUAAGACAACUUAUCAAAUGGGGGCCCAAACAAUUAUCUUUAGCAGGCGAGAUAAUGAUCCUCAACUAAGUGGUCCUGGAUUCAAUAUGGUUCCUAGUUUCAUGCGCCAAUGUAGAAAAUAAAAUCUUCAAACAAAUGUGAUCUUUGGUAAGGAACUACCUAUUGUCCGGGAUCACCACAUGAACCACAAGAGCCAAGGUACAAUAGAAUACCAUCAUCCAAAUACUAACUCACGGAGGUCUAAAGGUCCUAGAACUUGAACUCCAAGCCAGAGCCCUCAUCGCAAAGCUGAUCACCUGUGGCAUGGCACCCGGAGUAGAACCAUAAAAAAUCCUACUUGGGCACUGGAUAACAGAAAUCCAAUACAGCAAGGGAGGAGAUUGGUACCAUAGCCCGCACUAGAUUACGGGAAACAAAAUAAAACUCAAACCCCAAGGCUCACCGUUGUGGCUCAAUGUGAGGUCAGUAUGUCAAGAAAUUCAACCUGGUCUGCAACAACAACCACCACAAUUUCUAGACAAACUGAUGUGCCAGCCUCUCUUCAACAACACACUGAUAAGAGACUCAAACGGAACGAUAUGGGGCCAAAACCUCCAGGACAAGUUCAAUCUAUGAACGAGAAAGGGAGUGCGGACUUGCGGGGACCUUUAGAACGCCACUUCAGAGGAUUGGCAUAUCGAGUCAACCCUGCAACACCGCACAGAAAGCCGCUUAAUUAAAGUUUAGAAAACCACAAUGCUCACAAACAUUCCAUGGCACUCGGGAAACAGACAACCUUACAUAGCCAUAGAGUGGUGGGCAAUUGAUACACAGGGAACCAUAGUCAAGAUAUUCUAUACCCUGAAUAUUGCUGAAGGCACUUUACGAGGAGAUAAAUACAUAAUCUCGGACUUAACCCUCGUUUCUUUCAAGCCUCUACACAUUGGUCACAACGAAGUCCAACAUGUGAGAGUUAUAGCCUACAAAAGAAGAUUUCAUAGAAUUCAACCCUAGAGAAUAACCCGACCCCUCUAUUAUACUCUAGCUUGCCGCGGAUAAACCAAUUCAACAACUUACACUCGAUCCGGCAGAAUGGAUUUGAAAAUGGCAAGGAGACCUAUCCCACACACUAUUCUAUAAUUACACAUCCAAGCGCUGCUAUCGGCAACAGAGCAAAGUCAUCGCUGCAGCACCGAAAAGAGAAGCGGCUUCUAAAUCCAAAAACUACGAAAACCAGGAAUGUCAAUAAUUUUACAAACAAUCAUGGCAUCCAUGGCUCCCCAAGAAAGUUGCGGCAAUGAAGUAGCUAGUAUACGCUGGGGGCAUAUCGGUAGGCGCAUGGCAAAAAGUCAUGAAAUGAGAUGGUUGAUGCAUCCUUUGCAACAACACAACAAUCAAAACCAUCUUCCAUGCAUUCUGGGAUUGUCCACACAUCAGCACAGCUUGGGACAGAUACAACAUACUUCGGGUGAUGACCUGUCUCAACCCACUCACAAGUUGGCAAGAAAUAUUACAUGGCUCAACCAACCUCGCACACAACAACAUCGUCGAUCCAACAAACGCCAUCAAUGUUAUACCAAACACCUCCUAGAUGCUAUUGCGUACUCUUAUUCUAUUGAACAUCUGGUGUAACAAAUGCUUGUUUAAUCGAGAACAAGCACCUUACCACACGGAUCUCGUCCUAUACAAGGCCUGGAAAAUAACUAUCUACAUAAAGAUGGAGGCUUGGCGCAACCUACAGCGACAUCAUCGAACACCUGAGCUGCAACAUUCAAAAAAUAGAGCCUUCACCAAGAUAUGGACAGCCAAUAAUAUUUUCGCCACAACAAGAAGUAAAGAACCUACCUGGCAUCUAAUCUCCCCUCCCCAACUCCUCCCAAAAACUUUAGCACAAUACUUGGGAGCAGAUCAACCUCGAUCUCGACCUUCUCGACUGACAACCGCCCCAGUGACACAACCGUCGACCUCCCAAAGAAUAGCUCCCGAGUAAGAGCAAGAAGAUAGUCCUCCACUCAGCGACACGGCAGUACAACAAGGCAUACAACAACUCUUUGCGGAAAUUGAACACGAAAGUGUAAGCAGACAUAUCGAUCAAAGCAUCAGGCAUUAGAAAACUCGUCU
RNAcentral lists this long non-coding RNA (6304 nucleotides) under Physcomitrium patens. Its description in RNAcentral is "long non-coding RNA (PPAT_LNC011608)". Lineage: Eukaryota; Viridiplantae; Streptophyta; Bryopsida; Funariales; Funariaceae. The record is from RNAcentral.